GAUGAACGCUAGCGGCAGGCCUAAUACAUGCAAGUCGGACGGGAUUUGGGAGCUUGCUCCCAAUGAGAGUGGCGCACGGGUGCGUAACACGUAUGUAACCUACCUUAGUCAGGGGGAUAGCCUCUCGAAAGAGAGAUUAAGACCGCAUAAAUACACAGUAUAGCAUUAUACAAUGAUCAAAUAUUUAUUAGGACUAAGAUGGGCAUGCGGAACAUUAGCUAGUUGGUGAGGUAA
Molecule: ribosomal RNA, 234 nt
Filed under: uncultured bacterium
Lineage: Bacteria
Description: partial 16S ribosomal RNA
Rfam family: Bacterial small subunit ribosomal RNA
Source: RNAcentral